This 441-nucleotide ribosomal RNA is filed under the name uncultured bacterium. RNAcentral describes it as "partial 16S ribosomal RNA". It matches the Rfam family "Bacterial small subunit ribosomal RNA", at positions 339 to 795 of the family's 1533-position model. The record is from RNAcentral.
CUACGGGUUGCUCCAGUGGGGAAUAUUGGGCAAUGGGCGCAAGCCUGACCCAGCAACGCCGCGUGAGGGAAGAAGGUUUUCGGAUUGUAAACCUCUGUCCUUGGGGACGAAGAAGUGACGGUACCCAAGGAGGAAGCUCCGGCUAACUACGUGCCAGCAGCCGCGGUAAUACGUAGGGAGCAAGCGUUGUCCGGAAUUACUGGGCGUAAAGGGUGCGUAGGCGGCAUAUUAAGUCAGGUGUGAAAUACUCGGGCUCAACCCGGGGGCUGCAUUUGAAACUGAUAUGCUUGAGUGUGAGAGAGGAAAGUGGAAUUCCUAGUGUAGUGGUGGAAUGCGUAGAUAUUAGGAGGAACACCAGUGGCGAAGGCGACUUUCUGGCUCAUAACUGACGCUGAGGCACGAAAGCGUGGGGAGCAAACAGGAUUAGAUACCCGAGUAGUC